UAGCGGCGCACGGGUGAGUAACGCGUGGAUAAUCUGCCUGUAAGACAGGGAUAACGCCGGGAAACCGGUGCUAAUACCCGAUAACCUCUUUGAAUCGCAUGAUUUAAAGAGAAAAGGUGGCCUCUUUACAAUGCUACCACUUACAGAUGAAUCCGCGUCCCAUUAGCCAGUUGGUGGGGUAAUGGCCUACCAAAGCAACGAUGGGUAGCCGGCCUGAGAGGGUGACCGGCCACACUGGAACUGAGAUACGGUCCAGACUCCUACGGGAGGCAGCAGUGGGGAAUCUUCCGCAAUGGGCGAAAGCCUGACGGAGCAACGCCGCGUGAGCGAAGAAGGUCUUCGGAUUGUAAAGCUCUGUGAUAUUGGACGAACAAUUUCCCGUAAAUAAUGGGAAGGAAUGACGGUACAAUAAGAGGAAGCCACGGCUAACUACGUGCCAGCAGCCGCGGUAAUACGGAGGGGUGCAAGCGUUGUUCGGAAUUAUUGGGCGUAAAGCGCGUGUAGGCGGUUUGUUAAGUCUGGUGUGAAAGCCCUGGGCUCAACCUGGGAAGUGCAUUGGAUACUGGCAAACUUGAGUACGGGAGAGGAUAGUGGAAUUUCGAGUGUAGGGGUGAAAUCCGUAGAUAUUCGAAGGAACACCGGUGGCGAAGGCGGCUAUCUGGACCGAUACUGACGCUGAGACGCGAAAGCGUGGGGAGCAAACAGGAUUAGAUACCCUGGUAGUCCACGCUGUAAACGAUGAUUACUAAGUGUUGGAGCAAUUCAGUGCUGCAGUUAACGCAAUAAGUAAUCCGCCUGGGGAGUAUGCACGCAAGUGUGAAACUCAAAGGAAUUGACGGGGGCCCGCACAAGCGGUGGAGUAUGUGGUUUAAUUCGAAGCAACGCGAAGAACCUUACCAAGUCUUGACAUACCGUGCAAAACCCUGGAGACAGGGGAAUAGUUAUGGCGGAUACAGGUGGUGCAUGGUUGUCGUCAGCUCGUGUCGUGAGAUGUUGGGUUAAGUCCCGCAACGAGCGCAACCCUUGCCUUUAGUUACCAGCAUUCAGUUGGGGACUCUAGAGGGACUGCCGGUGACAAACCGGAGGAAGGUGGGGAUGACGUCAAAUCAUCAUGCCCCUUAUGACUUGGGCUACACACGUACUACAAUGGCGUAUACAGAGAGACGCGAAGUGGCGACAUGGAGCAAAUCUCACAAAGUACGUCUCAGUUCAGAUUGAAGUCUGCAACUCGACUUCAUGAAGUUGGAAUCGCUAGUAAUCGCGGAUCAGCAUGCCGCGGUGAAUACGUUCUCGGGCCUUGUACACACCGCCCGUCAAACCAUGAGAGUUGGUAAUACCCGAAGCCGGUGGCCUAACCGCAAGG
This 1363-nucleotide ribosomal RNA is filed under the name uncultured bacterium. RNAcentral describes it as "16S ribosomal RNA". It matches the Rfam family "Bacterial small subunit ribosomal RNA", at positions 93 to 1446 of the family's 1533-position model. The record is from RNAcentral.